This 347-nucleotide ribosomal RNA is filed under the name uncultured bacterium. Its description in RNAcentral is "bacterial SSU rRNA". It matches the Rfam family "Bacterial small subunit ribosomal RNA", at positions 1155 to 1501 of the family's 1533-position model. The record is from RNAcentral.
GUGAUAAGCCGGAGGAAAGGUGGGGAUGACGUCAAGUUCUCAUUGGCCUUACGGGCUGGGCUACACACGUGCUACAAUGGCGGUGACAGUGGGCAGCAAGGCAGUAAUGCCAAGCUAAUCUCAAAAAGCCGUCUCAGUUCGGAUUGAGGUCUGCAACUCGACCUCAUGAAGUUGGAAUCGCUAGUAAUCGCGGAUCAGAACGCCGCGGUGAAUACGUUCCCGGGCCUUGUACACACCGCCCGUCACACCAUGGGAGUUGGUUUUACCCGAAGGCGAUGCGCUAACCGCAAGGGGGCAGUCGACCACGGUAGGGUCAGCGACUGGGGUGAAGUCGUAACAAGGUAACC